CGAAGUUCGUUUGCUCCCCUCCCCUUACGGCUUCGGACUGGCGGGCGCU
Pseudoxanthomonas sp. Root65 is the source of this 49-nucleotide small RNA. It matches the Rfam family "Xanthomonadaceae sRNA sX5". The record is from Rfam. Lineage: Bacteria; Pseudomonadati; Pseudomonadota; Gammaproteobacteria; Lysobacterales; Lysobacteraceae.